This 28-nucleotide small RNA is filed under the name Bombyx mori (domestic silkworm). Its description in RNAcentral is "piRNA piR-bmo-1562035". Lineage: Eukaryota; Metazoa; Arthropoda; Insecta; Lepidoptera; Bombycidae. The record is from RNAcentral.
CAGUUCACAUACCGACCAACUUGAUAGC